This 947-nucleotide ribosomal RNA is filed under the name uncultured Verrucomicrobiota bacterium. Its description in RNAcentral is "bacterial SSU rRNA". It matches the Rfam family "Bacterial small subunit ribosomal RNA", at positions 391 to 1331 of the family's 1533-position model. The record is from RNAcentral. Lineage: Bacteria; Pseudomonadati; Verrucomicrobiota.
GCAACGCCGCGUGGAGGAUGACGGUCUUCGGAUUGUAAACUCCUGUCAUCGGGGAGUAAGACCUGGCUGUGAAUAGCAGACAGGGUUGAUAGUACCCGAAGAGGAAGGGACGGCUAACUUCGUGCCAGCAGCCGCGGGAAUACGAAGGUCCCGAGCGUUGUUCGGAAUCACUGGGCGUAAAGGGAGCGUAGGCGGCAGGGUAAGUCAGAUGUGAAAUCCCGGGGCUCAACCCCGGAACGGCAUCCGAUACUGCCCUGCUUGAGUAAUGGAGGGGUAGCUGGAAUUCUCGGUGUAGCAGUGAAAUGCGUGGAUAUCGAGAGGAACACUCGUGGCGAAAGCGAGCUACUGGACAUUGACUGACGCUGAGGCUCGAAGGCCAGGCUAGCGAAAGGGAUUAGAUACCCCUGUAGUCCUGGCAGUAAACGGCGUGCGCUUGGUGUGAGGGGUUUCGACCCCCUUUGUGCCGGAGCUAACGCGUUAAGCGCACCGCCUGGGAAGUACGGUCGCAAGACUAAAACUCAAAGAAAUUGACGGGGACCCGCACAAGCGGUGGAGUAUGUGGCUUAAUUCGAUGCAACGCGAAGAACCUUACCUGGGCUUGACAUGCAUUGCUAAUCCGCUGAAGGGCGGUGAGUCUUCGGACACCUUGCACAGGUGCUGCAUGGCCGUCGUCAGCUCGUGUCGUGAGAUGUUGGGUUAAGUCCCGCAACGAGCGCAACCCCUGUGAUUAGUUGCCAGCACGUGAAGGUGGGGACUCUAAUCAGACUGCCCAGAUCAACUGGGAGGAAGGUGGGGACGACGUCAGGUCAGUAUGGCCCUUACGCCCAGGACUGCACACGUACUACAAUGCCCAGCACAAUUGGAACCGAUACCGCGAGGUGGAGGGAAUCCGAAAAACUGGGCCCAGUUCGGAUUGGAGGCUGCAACUCGCCUCCAUGAAGCCGGAA